RNAcentral lists this ribosomal RNA (460 nucleotides) under uncultured bacterium. Its description in RNAcentral is "partial 16S ribosomal RNA". It matches the Rfam family "Bacterial small subunit ribosomal RNA", at positions 338 to 795 of the family's 1533-position model. The record is from RNAcentral.
CCUACGGGAGACAGCAGUGAGGAAUAUUGGUCAAUGGCCGUAAGGCUGAACCAGCCAAGUCGCGUGAAGGAAGAAGGAUCUAUGGUUUGUAAACUUCUUUUAUAGGGGAAUAAAGGUAUCCACGUGUGGAUAUUUGCAUGUACCCUAUGAAUAAGCAUCGGCUAACUCCGUGCCAGCAGCCGCGGUAAUACGGAGGAUGCGAGCGUUAUCCGGAUUUAUUGGGUUUAAAGGGUGCGUAGGUUGUUUUUUAAGUACGCGGGGAAAGUUUGUGGCUCAACCAUAAAAUUGCCGUUGAAACUGGAAGACUUGAGUGUGUUUGAGGUAGGCGGAAUGCGUGGUGUAGCGGUGAAAUGCGUAGAUAUCACGCAGAACUCCGAUUGCGAAGGCAGCUUACUAAGCCAUAACUGACACUGAAGCACGAAAGCGUGGGGAUCAAACAGGAUUAGAUACCCUAGUAGUC